GGGGGGGGGGGGGGGGGGGGGGGGGACGGGGGGGGCGGGGGGAGAGGGGGGGGGGUGGCGGGGCGGACGGGAGCGGCGGGCGGGUGAGGAACACGGGGAUAACCUACCUAUAAGACUGGGAUAACUGCGGGAAACCGGAGCUAAUACCGGAUAAUAUAUUGAACCGCAUGGUUCAAUAGUGAAAGACGGUUUUGCUGUCACUUAUAGAUGGAUCCGCGCCGCCUUAGCUAGUUGGUAAGGUAACGGCUUACCAAGGCGACGAUGCGUAGCCGACCUGAGAGGGUGAUCGGCCACACUGGAACUGAGACGCGGUCCAGACUCCUACGGGAGGCAGCAGUAGGGAAUCUUCCGCAAUGGGCGAAAGCCUGACGGAGCAGCGCCGCGUGAGUGAUGAAGGUCUUCGGAUCGUAAAACUCUGUUAUUAGGGAAGAACAAAUGUGUAAGUAACUAUGCACGUCUUGACGGUACCUAAUCAGAAAGCCACGGCUAACUACGUG
RNAcentral lists this ribosomal RNA (497 nucleotides) under uncultured bacterium. RNAcentral describes it as "partial 16S ribosomal RNA". It matches the Rfam family "Bacterial small subunit ribosomal RNA", at positions 26 to 507 of the family's 1533-position model. The record is from RNAcentral.